UACGGAGGGUGCAAGCGUUAUCCGGAUUCACUGGGUUUAAAGGGUGCGUAGGUGGGCUAGUAAGUCCGUGGUGAAAUCCCCGAGCUUAACUUGGGAACUGCCAUUGAUACUAUUAGUCUUGAAUAUCGUGGAGGUAAGCGGAAUAUGUCAUGUAGCGGUGAAAUGCUUAGAUAUGACAUAGAACACCAAUUGCGAAGGCAGCUUGCUACACGAUCAUUGACACUGAGGCACGAAAGCGUGGGGAGCAAACAGG
This 253-nucleotide ribosomal RNA is filed under the name uncultured bacterium. RNAcentral's name for it is "partial 16S ribosomal RNA". It matches the Rfam family "Bacterial small subunit ribosomal RNA", at positions 524 to 776 of the family's 1533-position model. The record is from RNAcentral.